Molecule: small nucleolar RNA, 109 nt
Organism: Lathyrus oleraceus (garden pea)
Lineage: Eukaryota; Viridiplantae; Streptophyta; Magnoliopsida; Fabales; Fabaceae
Source: RefSeq, a predicted model, not a curated record
AGAUCGUGAUGUGGACAUAUCCUCAUCAUGUCCUUGUAUCUCUCCCACACUUCAUAGAGAGAUUCUACAUCUUUUUGCCUGAAUCCGUUGAGCUCUCAGCAUAGCAGUU